GGGGUGCUUUUAUUAAAUCAAAACCAAACGACCUUGCGUCCUUUUUUGGUGACUCUGAAUAACUUUUUGCGGAUCGCAYGGCCUUGUGCCGGCSACGUAUCAUUCUAASGUGUGCCCUAUCAACUGUCGACUGUGGCAUAGUCGCCCACACUGGUUUUGACGGGUAACGGGGAAUCAGGGUUCGAUUCCGGASAGGGAGCCUGAGAAACGGCUACCACUUCUAASGAAGGCAGCAGGCGCGCAAAUUACCCAUUGGUCGCASACCGAGGUAGUGACGAAMAAUAACGAUACCAGACUCAUUYGAGGCCUGGUAAUCGGAAUGAGUACACUUUAACUCCUUUAACAAGGAACUAUUGGAGGGCAAGUCUGGU
This 371-nucleotide ribosomal RNA is filed under the name Copepoda environmental sample. Its description in RNAcentral is "partial 18S ribosomal RNA". It matches the Rfam family "Eukaryotic small subunit ribosomal RNA", at positions 200 to 567 of the family's 1831-position model. Lineage: Eukaryota; Metazoa; Arthropoda; Copepoda. The record is from RNAcentral.